CAAUAUUUUCCGAUGUUGUUAAAUCGAUCUUGAAUACGCGUUUAUUCGAUAAUCAAUCAUCAAGCCGCCUGCGCACGUAUCUCUAAUCAACAAAAGCCUUCCGAGUAAGCUCUAACGAGAAUCGUACCAAUAAUGAUCAUUACCGCGUGAAUGUAGAUUAGAACGUGGAAGAAUUGACAGUUGUAGGUUGAAGACAUACGCUGGCCUGCAGAAGAAACACCUAACGGAAUUACGUAAGAUCAGCUGUUCGACUUGGCGUAUAUAUACCAACAGAACCAGUAACAGUAUAUUUAGAAGAACCUUGAGCAGAAGAAAUACGUACAGCUAUGCUCCACCAAAUCCGCCGCAGUGAUGUCAGUCUGCACAAACAUCGUCAUCCCUACAUUUGGCUUGUGGUUACGCACGACACGCCGAUGCACCAAAAGCGCGAAUUACAGGUAGAGGUAUCCGCGAUACGUGGUUGUAUCGAAAGUGCAGACUGUUGGGUAUCGCGGCAAAAGUAACGUGCGACUGCUCGCGGGCAACGCAGACGAGACUCGAGUCCCUCAAGUCGUGCCACUCCGACUCCCGCGGCUUAUAAGGAGCGGCUCUGACGGCUCGGAACGCGACGCUGGCCACCGGAAAACUGUCGCAAAAUGCUGCAGAGGUGGCAGGUACUUCGGUUUGUCACAACAGUAUUUUUCGAUGCAACAUUCUUUAUUUACCUACCUGUACACCUUCAACUGCUAGGCAGUGAGGAAACAGGCAAAAUAGAUUUUUUCCUCAUUGGAAAUUGCGUCGCCCGGUAUUGAGGACGGAUAUUUUAUAUUUAACGUAGUUGUGGAAUGAUCAAUGCGAAAUUAAGACUGUCGUUGAUAAUUUUUUAUUUGCAUCCAGACGCAGUCUGUUAUAAAAGAUUAAAUGACAAUGAUAAUGGAAUUGAAAUGCGCACGAAGAUAAGCAUUUUUCAUGCAACGAACGAGUUUGUGCGGACCUAUUAACAAUAAAUCCAAUUCAAUGUUUGCAGGAAUAAAUAUUUCUAUUCCUGAUUGUGGACGCUUUGUAUUGUUAAUAUGGAAAUUGUGCUGGGAUUGUAGUAGAUAGAAUAAAUAUGUAAACACUGUUGUAGCAAGCAAAAAUUAGUCAACAUGUAUUUAUCGAGACGUAAGAAAAAAAAAAAUAACUACGAAAAAGGCCUUACCGUACGAAGUAAGUGUACCAUCCAAAUUAAUGUGUAUGUACAAUUUUAGAACAAACACUGUGUCUAUAAUGCUUGAUAGUGCUAUGUGAUUUAGGAGUAAUAGUUGUGAGUUUUUUUGUUUUAUUUUUUUAAAUAUCGUCUCGUCAAUGUUCAGCAAGAAAACAGAACGGAUAUUAUAAUACUAUGCAAAAUUAGUUCUAAGAAUAACCUACGUUUAUUGCUUAAAACUUAGGUUUGAAACAUCAUUUAAUCAUGUACAAAAUUCUAGGAAUGUAAACGAGGAUGAUAACAAUAAUAAAUUAGAAUAAUACGAGUAAAUAAAUCGAGGUUCAAUACACACAUAACACGAGAGACAGAUAUACCCUCGCAUAUAUCUACCUAUAUUAAUUCAGAUCACAACAACACAAAACAAGCCAAUGCAAAGAACAAAAUAGUAAAGGUACAGUUCUAAAAAUAAAUGGUUUCGAAAAAAAAACAGUACAAUAAUUCGUACCACUACUUAAAUUCAGUUUUCAAAAAAAAAGAAAAACCGAGUAUAAAGAGCGGACAAUAAACC
RNAcentral lists this long non-coding RNA (1736 nucleotides) under Neodiprion pinetum (white pine sawfly). RNAcentral describes it as "uncharacterized LOC124215967". The record is from RNAcentral. Lineage: Eukaryota; Metazoa; Arthropoda; Insecta; Hymenoptera; Diprionidae.